UGCAGUCGAGCGGAAACGAGUUAUCAGAACCUUCGGGGGACGAUAACGGCGUCGAGCGGCGGACGGGUGAGUAAUGCCUAGGAAAUUGCCCUGAUGUGGGGGAUAACCAUUGGAAACGAUGGCUAAUACCGCAUGAUGCCUACGGGCCAAAGAGGGGGACCUUCGGGCCUCUCGCGUCAGGAUAUGCCUAGGUGGGAUUAGCUAGUUGGUGAGGUAAGGGCUCACCAAGGCGACGAUCCCUAGCUGGUCUGAGAGGAUGAUCAGCCACACUGGAACUGAGACACGGUCCAGACUCCUACGGGAGGCAGCAGUGGGGAAUAUUGCACAAUGGGCGCAAGCCUGAUGCAGCCAUGCCGCGUGUGUGAAGAAGGCCUUCGGGUUGUAAAGCACUUUCAGUCGUGAGGAAGGUGGUGUAGUUAAUAGCUGCAUUAUUUGACGUUAGCGACAGAAGAAGCACCGGCUAACUCCGUGCCAGCAGCCGCGGUAAUACGGAGGGUGCGAGCGUUAAUCGGAAUUACUGGGCGUAAAGCGCAUGCAGGUGGUUUGUUAAGUCAGAUGUGAAAGCCCGGGGCUCAACCUCGGAAUUGCAUUUGAAACUGGCAGACUAGAGUACUGUAGAGGGGGGUAGAAUUUCAGGUGUAGCGGUGAAAUGCGUAGAGAUCUGAAGGAAUACCGGUGGCGAAGGCGGCCCCCUGGACAGAUACUGACACUCAGAUGCGAAAGCGUGGGGAGCAAACAGGAUUAGAUACCCUGGUAGUCCACGCCGUAAACGAUGUCUACUUGGAGGUUGUGGCCUUGAGCCGUGGCUUUCGGAGCUAACGCGUUAAGUAGACCGCCUGGGGAGUACGGUCGCAAGAUUAAAACUCAAAUGAAUUGACGGGGGCCCGCACAAGCGGUGGAGCAUGUGGUUUAAUUCGAUGCAACGCGAAGAACCUUACCUACUCUUGACAUCCAGAGAACUUUCCAGAGAUGGAUUGGUGCCUUCGGGAACUCUGAGACAGGUGCUGCAUGGCUGUCGUCAGCUCGUGUUGUGAAAUGUUGGGUUAAGUCCCGCAACGAGCGCAACCCUUAUCCUUGUUUGCCAGCGAGUAAUGUCGGGAACUCCAGGGAGACUGCCGGUGAUAAACCGGAGGAAGGUGGGGACGACGUCAAGUCAUCAUGGCCCUUACGAGUAGGGCUACACACGUGCUACAAUGGCGCAUACAGAGGGCGGCCAACUUGCGAAAGUGAGCGAAUCCCAAAAAGUGCGUCGUAGUCCGGAUUGGAGUCUGCAACUCGACUCCAUGAAGUCGGAAUCGCUAGUAAUCGUGGAUCAGAAUGCCACGGUGAAUACGUUCCCGGGCCUUGUACACACCGCCCGUCACACCAUGGGAGUGGGCUGCAAAAGAAGUAGGUAGUUUAACCUUCGGGGGGACGC
This 1417-nucleotide ribosomal RNA is filed under the name Vibrio parahaemolyticus. Its description in RNAcentral is "bacterial SSU rRNA". It matches the Rfam family "Bacterial small subunit ribosomal RNA". Lineage: Bacteria; Pseudomonadati; Pseudomonadota; Gammaproteobacteria; Vibrionales; Vibrionaceae. The record is from RNAcentral.